This 251-nucleotide unclassified non-coding RNA is filed under the name Dominikia iranica. Its description in RNAcentral is "partial internal transcribed spacer region". The stretch from base 1 to 46 matches the Rfam family "Eukaryotic small subunit ribosomal RNA", at positions 1786 to 1831 of the family's 1831-position model. The record is from RNAcentral. Lineage: Eukaryota; Fungi; Glomeromycota; Glomeromycetes; Glomerales; Glomeraceae. RNAcentral also lists the same sequence under 1 other name.
AAGUCGUAACAAGGUUUCCGUAGGUGAACCUGCGGAAGGAUCAUUAUUAUUUGGGUCGGGUUUACUUCCUGCUCUGUUCGGACUGUUCUUUGUGUCUUGAUAAUUAGGAAGUAAACUUUUACCGAAUAAAUCCUAUAUCUCCUAUAGGAGCAAGAUGAACUUUUAUUUAAAACCCACUCUUAAAUAUUUAUUAUAUAUAUUUUGAAUGACAAAAUUAAAGAUCACUUUCAACAACGGAUCUCUUGGCUCUC